GUCACAAUCACAACACUCAGAACCUACAUGAAUAUGGUUACUGUAUAAUUCAUCCUUUUGACCUCUGUGUUUAAGAUGACUCAGGGUUAAACUGUCAACCCUGAUCAGAUCAUCCGAAUCACGCUCAACUCAAACAGUCCUGUAACUCCUCACAAGGACUACCCUGGCCAAGAUUUUGCUAAAUUGAAAUACGACUGUACACAGCUCCUAAACUGGAGUGGUCAAUUCCAUCUUGACACACGCACCGACAAGUCAAGUACUUGACUACACCCAGCAGCCUUCCAUCACUGAAUUAAAAAUUCAGGUAGUCCAGUGCCUAAGUGCAGUGAGUUGCUUGCAAGUCACCGUGGCGGUCUC
RNAcentral lists this long non-coding RNA (357 nucleotides) under Elaeis guineensis (African oil palm). Its description in RNAcentral is "long non-coding RNA (EGUI_LNC067888)". Lineage: Eukaryota; Viridiplantae; Streptophyta; Magnoliopsida; Arecales; Arecaceae. The record is from RNAcentral.